UCAGGAAACAGCAUGGCCAUGAGGGCCCCUUCUCAGCUCCUGGGGCUCCUGCUGCUCUGCCUCCCAGGUAAGGAGGAAUAGUAUUUGGGAUUUACUCAUCACAGUAUGGUCAGUGCUGCAUGGCUACUCAGGAAAGUAUUCUUGAAACAUGAUUAAUUAUAAGAAUAUUUCUUUUUAUGUUUCCAAUGGCAGGUGUCAGAUGUGACAUCACGAUAACCCAGUCUCCAUCCUCCUUGCCUGUGUCUCAUGGAGAGAGAGUCACCAUCACCUGCAGGGCCAGUCAGAAUGUUAACAGUUGGUUAGCUUGGUAUCAACAGAAGCCAGGGCAAGCUCCUAAACCCCUGAUAUAUAAGGCAUCCAAUUUGCAAUCUGGGGUCCCCUCAAGGUUCAGUGGCACUGGAUCUGGGACAGAUUACACUCUCACCAUCAGCAGCCUGGAGCCUGAAGAUAUUGCCACUUAUUUUUGUGUACAGUAUGACAGUUCCCCUCCCACAGUGAUACAGGCCAUGACAAAAAC
Molecule: long non-coding RNA, 517 nt
Filed under: Marmota monax (woodchuck)
Lineage: Eukaryota; Metazoa; Chordata; Mammalia; Rodentia; Sciuridae
Source: RNAcentral